This is a long non-coding RNA of Mobula hypostoma (lesser devil ray), 378 nucleotides long. RefSeq lists it as uncharacterized. NCBI's taxonomy places the organism in Eukaryota, Metazoa, Chordata, Chondrichthyes, Myliobatiformes, Myliobatidae. The record is from RefSeq and is a predicted model, not a curated record. The transcript has 3 exons.
GCUGGUGAACGCAGCAGGCCAGGCAGCAUCUCUAGGAAGAGGUGCAGUCGACGUUUCGGGCCGAGACCCUUCAUUCCCUGCUAAGCCUGCAGCAUUCUGGUACAACCUUCUGGAUGAUACAUGCGGUUGUGAACAGACCUGAACACGGUGCAGUCUUCAGCAAGCAUCCUUGCAUCUGACAUUGUGGUGGAGGUAAAGUCAUAAAUAAAGCAGCCUGAAGAUGAUUGGCCCCAAGAGAUUGCUCUGAUCCAAGAGCUAAGAAUGAACAGAAUGUGUGCUCCAUCUGAAACCCGUACCGCAGUGAGAGAUGGCACCUUCGGAGGAGAGGACCAGCGUCCCAGCGGGAACCGACACCUUCGGGAGAGAAUGGGAACCAUA